GCCGAGCCCAGAGUCACCGGUUACACCCAAUGGUGGAUUGGUGCUAAUGGAACUCGGAGAGAAAAUUCUUUCUUAUGCCCUGAAUAUGGUAUUAUACAUAUUUCAGGCACCAGUAAAGAUACAUUA
Osmia lignaria (orchard mason bee) is the source of this 126-nucleotide small nucleolar RNA. RefSeq annotates it as small nucleolar RNA SNORA3/SNORA45 family. The record is from RefSeq and is a predicted model, not a curated record. Lineage: Eukaryota; Metazoa; Arthropoda; Insecta; Hymenoptera; Megachilidae.